UACAGAGGUCCCAAGCGUUGUUCGGAUUUACUGGGCGUAAAGGGUGCGUAGGUGGUGAGGCAAGUUCGGUGUGAAAUCUCCGGGCUUAACCCGGAAAUGGCAUUGAAAACUGCCUUGCUAGAGGGUUGGAAGGGAGACUGGAAUUCUUGGUGUAGCAGUGAAAUGCGUAGAUAUCAAGAGGAACACCAGUGGCGAAGGCGAGUCUCUGGACAACACCUGACACUGAGGCACGAAAGCUAGGGGAGCAAACAGG
This 253-nucleotide ribosomal RNA is filed under the name uncultured bacterium. RNAcentral's name for it is "partial 16S ribosomal RNA". It matches the Rfam family "Bacterial small subunit ribosomal RNA", at positions 524 to 776 of the family's 1533-position model. The record is from RNAcentral.